AAGGGCCAUGUCCUCGGAAACCCGCAUUCUAGCCAUGUCGUGCCUAAUCACCUCUCCCCAAUACCUCUUAGGCAUCCCUCUGCCUCGUCGUACGCUGACCAUCGCCAGCCGCUCAAAACUCCUCACCGGGGCAUCAGGACUUCUCCUCCGCACGUGCCCGAACCACCUCAGCCUUGCUUCUCGCAUCUUCUCAUCCACCGGGGCC
RNAcentral lists this long non-coding RNA (205 nucleotides) under Nicotiana benthamiana. Its description in RNAcentral is "long non-coding RNA (NBEN_LNC016533)". Lineage: Eukaryota; Viridiplantae; Streptophyta; Magnoliopsida; Solanales; Solanaceae. The record is from RNAcentral.